UAAAAGGGAGUAGAAAAUCUGCUAGAGAAAGUAAUAACUGAGGGCUGGAGAGAUGGCUCAGCCGUUAAAGGCUAGGCUCACAACCAAAAAUAUA
RNAcentral lists this microRNA precursor (94 nucleotides) under Microtus ochrogaster (prairie vole). RNAcentral describes it as "miRNA (ENSMOCG00000010175.1)". Lineage: Eukaryota; Metazoa; Chordata; Mammalia; Rodentia; Cricetidae. The record is from RNAcentral.